RNAcentral lists this ribosomal RNA (595 nucleotides) under uncultured Bacteroidota bacterium. Its description in RNAcentral is "bacterial SSU rRNA". It matches the Rfam family "Bacterial small subunit ribosomal RNA", at positions 1 to 584 of the family's 1533-position model. Lineage: Bacteria; Pseudomonadati; Bacteroidota. The record is from RNAcentral.
GGAUCCAGACUUUGAUUCUGGCUCAGGAUGAACGCUAGCUACAGGCUUAACACAUGCAAGUCGAGGGGAAACGAUAUUGGAAGCUUGCUUCCGAUAGGCGUCGACCGGCGCACGGGUGAGUAACGCGUAUCCAACCUGCCCACCACUUGGGGAUAACCUUGCGAAAGUAAGACUAAUACCCAAUGAUAUCUCUAGAAGACAUCUGAAAGGGAUUAAAGAUUUAUCGGUGAUGGAUGGGGAUGCGUCUGAUUAGCUUGUUAGCGGGGUAACGGCCCACCAAGGCGACGAUCAGUAGGGGUUCUGAGAGGAAGGUCCCCCACAUUGGAACUGAGACACGGUCCAAACUCCUACGGGAGGCAGCAGUGAGGAAUAUUGGUCAAUGGGCGAGAGCCUGAACCAGCCAAGUAGCGUGCAGGAUGACGGCCCUAUGGGUUGUAAACUGCUUUUAUAAGGGAAUAAAGUGAGUCUCGUGAGACUUUUUGCAUGUACCUUAUGAAUAAGGACCGGCUAAUUCCGUGCCAGCAGCCGCGGUAAUACGGAAGGUCCGGGCGUUAUCCGGAUUUAUUGGGUUCAAAGGGAGCGUAGGCCGGAGAUU